CGCUGGCGGCGUGCCUAAUACAUGCAAGUCGAGCGGAAUGAUGAAGAAGCUUGCUUCUUCUGAUUUUAGCGGCGGACGGGUGAGUAACACGUGGGCAACCUACCUUGUAGAUUGGGAUAACUCCGGGAAACCGGGGCUAAUACCGAAUAAUCCAUUUUGCUUCAUGGCGAGAUGUUGAAAGACGGUUUCGGCUGUCACUAUAAGAUGGGCCCGCGGCGCAUUAGCUAGUUGGUAGGGUAAUGGCCUACCAAGGCGACGAUGCGUAGCCGACCUGAGAGGGUGAUCGGCCACACUGGGACUGAGACACGGCCCAGACUCCUACGGGAGGCAGCAGUAGGGAAUCUUCCGCAAUGGACGAAAGUCUGACGGAGCAACGCCGCGUGAGUGAAGAAGGUUUUCGGAUCGUAAAACUCUGUUGUAAGGGAAGAACACGUACGAGAGUAACUGCUCGUACCUUGACGGUACCUUAUUAGAAAGCCACGGCUAACUACGUG
Molecule: ribosomal RNA, 494 nt
Filed under: uncultured bacterium
Lineage: Bacteria
Description: bacterial SSU rRNA
Rfam family: Bacterial small subunit ribosomal RNA
Source: RNAcentral